GAACAGCCCCAAGAUUCCCGUUCCGCAACUAAACCACACCUGCCAAGGCGCUCUACGGCGGCGGCGGCGUGCUCCACCGCAGUCCGCCCCAAUCCGGCGGGGUCCGUCCGCCUGCUCCGGCCACCUCCUCCUCAACCACCCGGACCUCCUCCCGCCGGCAUCCCCCGUGGGAACGGCCUCCUCCGCCGCCUGCCUACAACGCCGAUGCCUUUCUCCAGGCGCACGCAGAUGGGUGGGCCGGAGCAGCCCCAGCCACGGCCGACGGUCUCGGCGGACUCCCUCCCCUCCCUGCCCCGCGGCCAGGAAGCCGCCGACGUCAUCCGGUCUAUCAUUCCCCUUCUUCCAAUUCCGUCCAAUUGGAUCCCUGCGGUCAUACUCAGGUUGCUCAACUUUAAUUUGUUACAUCGUUCUACUUCUUUUGUUCAUCAGGAUAUCCAUCAGGGCACGGCAUCAUCCUUAUCACAAGAUAUAUCCCCGGCCGGCCGGCGGCAGUAUGGUGACGCAAAUAAGCUCCCUGCCUCGUCAAACAAGCGAGGGUGUGUGUGUUAGACUUAUGGCACAACUGAAAUAAUCCUUGGCCGGAAGAUUUUGCUGCUGUCCAGGCCAUCUUGAAGACAUUUGGUGAUGCAUCCAGGCUGAGAACUAACAUGGCGAAGAGUGUGGCUUAUCCUAAUUCCUGUGUUGGUAUCGAUUUAUCUCGUAUGCUGUGUGAUUUUGGUGGAGUGCAAGCUUAUUGGCCAUGGGUAUCUGGGUUUGCCUGUAGGGUUCAAAAAGCCAAGCUACAGCCGGUUGUGCUUGACUAGGCUACCGGCAAACUCUCGCCAUGGAAAGAGCGACGUCUCAACAGGACUGGAAGACUGGUGCUUAUUAACUGGGCGGUGACUGCAACUUGCUGCUACCUAUUUCCUGACCACCUUGUGAAGAAGCGAGUGUGCGCGCCAAAGAUGUUCAGUCGAGCCCUUGGGCUGUGGUGGGAAUGGUUCAGGUGGGAUGAUGAGAAGAGACCAUGGAAGGGCACAGAGACUCCGUGUGACGAGAUUAAUAGGCAGCUCUUUUCCUGCCGCACCCCCAUCUCCCUUGGGGAUGGCAGCUUGGCCAUUCUCAGGAAGGGCCGCUAGUUGGAAGGGGAUGCUCCAUGUUUUUUGGUGCCCCGGAAAUCUUCAGGCUGGCACGGUACAGAAGUUGCCGGUUAAGGAUGCGAGGGUUGCAGCGGAUCAGUACUAAGGUGCAGCUGAACCAAUUCAUGCUAAUUUGAGUGGCGUGCUGCACAACGGCGUUUGCCGCCUGUGUGAUCAGGAGCAAGACAGCGCUGCCCAUCUGACCCGGCGUUGCUGUUACGCGCGGCAUUGAUUUCAGAAUUCCAACGCUAGAGUGUGCUCAAUUGUUUCUCGGCAUUGACAAUCCAGGUAUGGCGGAGGAGGAUUUAUUAGUCGGGCGGCGGCUCGCCGAGGCGAGAAGAAGAAAAACUGUAAUCCAAUUCGGAGUAGUAAUUUCGAACAAAAAGUACCUGUGUAUGUAGCUGGGAUAUGGAGGGAGGCACGACGAUCCAGUUCCUGGCCAACUGAAGCGGAGCGCGGUGUGCAACAGCUCUGCUCAUGAACAUGAACUCAUCCUCAAGCAAUGGCCGUGGUCUGCACCCGUCCGUAACUCUUUUCCCCCUUCCAUCCAAAGGAAAAGGAACGGGGCCAUUUUUCUACUGGCCUUUUCAGAACGGAGACUUGGCCAAACUCCAUUCGCUAGCUUGUUUUGCUCGCCGGGCGGCCAGAUGGUAAAAGCUCCCCAGACUUACGUCCAUGGAAGUUAGGAAGCAGAUAAACCAGGCAGCAGGAUCCAGCUUCCAUUUGACCGAAUCAACAAAUUUAGUAUAUGGUCUUGCCGGCGAAUUGGUGGUAGCAUGCACUGUCUAUGGAAAUUAGGACUUGUAUAAUGGCUGGGGUGUGGUGUGCUCAUCGACGACAUUUGACACGUUCUUAUUUUAUGGGACGGAGUGAGUAUUUCUGAAUAUUUAGAAAAGGAUAAUGUAAGAAAAAAUCACAUUGCAAGUGACUUCUUUCCAAGUGCGUGCGUUGACUUGA
This is a non-coding RNA of Aegilops tauschii subsp. strangulata, 2075 nucleotides long. The record is from RefSeq and is a predicted model, not a curated record. Lineage: Eukaryota; Viridiplantae; Streptophyta; Magnoliopsida; Poales; Poaceae.